RNAcentral lists this ribosomal RNA (1343 nucleotides) under uncultured bacterium. RNAcentral's name for it is "16S ribosomal RNA". It matches the Rfam family "Bacterial small subunit ribosomal RNA", at positions 28 to 1378 of the family's 1533-position model. The record is from RNAcentral.
GACGAACGCUGGCGGCGUGCUUAACACAUGCAAGUCGAACGGAAAGGCCCUGCUUUUGUGGGGUGCUCGAGUGGCGAACGGGUGAGUAACACGUGAGUAACCUGCCCUUGACUUUGGGAUAACUUCAGGAAACUGGGGCUAAUACCGGAUAGGAGCUCCUGCUGCAUGGUGGGGGUUGGAAAGUUUCGGCGGUUGGGGAUGGACUCGCGGCUUAUCAGCUUGUUGGUGGGGUAGUGGCUUACCAAGGCUUUGACGGGUAGCCGGCCUGAGAGGGUGACCGGCCACAUUGGGACUGAGAUACGGCCCAGACUCCUACGGGAGGCAGCAGUGGGGAAUAUUGCACAAUGGGCGGAAGCCUGAUGCAGCAACGCCGCGUGCGGGAUGGCGGCCUUCGGGUUGUAAACCGCUUUCGCCUGUGACGAAGCGUGAGUGACGGUAAUGGGUAAAGAAGCACCGGCUAACUACGUGCCAGCAGCCGCGGUGAUACGUAGGGUGCGAGCGUUGUCCGGAUUUAUUGGGCGUAAAGGGCUCGUAGGUGGUUGAUCGCGUCGGAAGUGUAAUCUUGGGGCUUAACCCUGAGCGUGCUUUCGAUACGGGUUGACUUGAGGAAGGUAGGGGAGAAUGGAAUUCCUGGUGGAGCGGUGGAAUGCGCAGAUAUCAGGAGGAACACCAGUGGCGAAGGCGGUUCUCUGGGCCUUUCCUGACGCUGAGGAGCGAAAGCGUGGGGAGCGAACAGGCUUAGAUACCCUGGUAGUCCACGCUGUAAACGGUGGGUACUAGGUGUGGGGUCCAUUCCACGGGUUCCGUGCCGUAGCUAACGCUUUAAGUACCCCGCCUGGGGAGUACGGCCGCAAGGCUAAAACUCAAAGGAAUUGACGGGGCCCCGCACAAGCGGCGGAGCAUGCGGAUUAAUUCGAUGCAACGCGUAGAACCUUACCUGGGUUUGACAUGGAUCGGGAGUGCUCAGAGAUGGGUGUGCCUCUUUUGGGGUCGGUUCACAGGUGGUGCAUGCCUGUCGUCAGCUCGUGUCGUGAGAUGUUGGGUUAAGUCCCGCAACGAGCGCAACCCUUGUUCACUGUUGCCAGCACGUUAUGGUGGGGACUCAGUGGAGACCGCCGGGGUCAACUCGGAGGAAGGUGGGGAUGACGUCAAGUCAUCAUGCCCCUUAUGUCCAGGGCUUCACGCAUGCUACAAUGGCUGGUACAGAGAGUGGCGAGCCUGUGAGGGUGAGCGAAUCUCGGAAAGCCGGUCUCAGUUCGGAUUGGGGUCUGCAACUCGACCUCAUGAAGUCGGAGUCGCUAGUAAUCGCAGAUCAGCAACGCUGCGGUGAAUACGUUCCCGGG